GACGAACGCUGGCGGCGUGCCUAAUACAUGCAAGUUGAGCGCUGAAGGUUGGUACUUGUACCAACUGGAUGAGCAGCGAACGGGUGAGUAACGCGUGGGGAAUCUGCCUUUGAGCGGGGGACAACAUUUGGAAACGAAUGCUAAUACCGCAUAAAAACUUUAAACACAAGUUUUAAGUUUGAAAGAUGCAAUUGCAUCACUCAAAGAUGAUCCCGCGUUGUAUUAGCUAGUUGGUGAGGUAAAGGCUCGUCAAGGCGAUGAUACAUAGCCGACCUGAGAGGGUGAUCGGCCACAUUGGGACUGAGACACGGCCCAAACUCCUACGGGAGGCAGCAGUAGGGAAUCUUCGGCAAUGGACGAAAGUCUGACCGAGCAACGCCGCGUGAGUGAAGAAGGUUUUCGGAUCGUAAAACUCUGUUGGUAGAGAAGAACGUUGGUGAGAGUGGAAAGCUCAUCAAGUGACGGUAACUACCCAGAAAGGGACGGCUAACUACGUG
This 497-nucleotide ribosomal RNA is filed under the name uncultured bacterium. RNAcentral's name for it is "partial 16S ribosomal RNA". It matches the Rfam family "Bacterial small subunit ribosomal RNA", at positions 28 to 507 of the family's 1533-position model. The record is from RNAcentral.